RNAcentral lists this ribosomal RNA (430 nucleotides) under uncultured bacterium. RNAcentral's name for it is "partial 16S ribosomal RNA". It matches the Rfam family "Bacterial small subunit ribosomal RNA", at positions 354 to 796 of the family's 1533-position model. The record is from RNAcentral.
GUGGGGAAUAUUGCACAAUGGGCGCAAGCCUGAUGCAGCAACGCCGCGUGCGGGAUGACGGCCUUCGGGUUGUAAACCGCUUUCAGCAGGGACGAAGCGAAAGUGACGGUACCUGCAAAAGAAGCACCGGCUAACUACGUGCCAGCAGCCGCGGUGAUACGUAGGGUGCGAGCGUUGUCCGGAUUUAUUGGGCGUAAAGAGCUUGUAGGCGGUCAGUCGCGUCGUAAGUGCAAACUCAGGGCUUAACCCUGAGCCUGCUUUCGAUACGGGCCGACUAGAGGAAGGUAGGGGAGAAUGGAAUUCCCGGUGGAGCGGUGGAAUGCGCAGAUAUCGGGAGGAACACCAGUGGCGAAGGCGGUUCUCUGGACCUUUCCUGACGCUGAGAAGCGAAAGCGUGGGGAGCAAACAGGCUUAGAAACCCUAGUAGUCC